GCACAACACAACAACAUUCCACCCCUCUUUUCAUGUCGAGUGUGAAGGGCAUAGUAAAUAUCAGCUAAGAGAAAUGGUACUGGAUUGCCAGAGAGAAAGACUUCUAUGGCCACUUGAUCCACAAAUUUUUCAACAUUUGGGAAUAACACAAUCCCAUGGAUCAAUAAAGCCACCACAGCAUAGAAUGCAUUCCAAUUUCCACUUUUCUUGAACUUUAGAGCUAAAUCCUCCAAAAACAUCGCGGCAAAACCUUUGCAACCCCCUUUUUCAGCCCAAUUGUCUCGAACAGUCGGGACAUUGAUGCUUAGGGCCGAAGCUAUCUUCUUUGGGCCCAUAUCUUCUUCGAGCUUUGGAAACGGAUUAAAAUCUUUCAACUUGAGUCCCACGAUCCUCUCAACUUCUUCCAAAGUAGGAGCUAGCUGGAAAUCAGCGAAUGUGAAACAACGCAGAGGUGGAUCAUAAUAUUGUGCCAGAGAGCCGAUAAUUC
This 487-nucleotide long non-coding RNA is filed under the name Lathyrus oleraceus (garden pea). Its description in RNAcentral is "Pisum sativum (pea) long non-coding RNA (PSAT_LNC032697)". Lineage: Eukaryota; Viridiplantae; Streptophyta; Magnoliopsida; Fabales; Fabaceae. The record is from RNAcentral.